GCCUGGUUAGCUCAAUCGGUAGAGCGUGAGACUCUUACGGGUUCACCAAUCUCAAGGCUGCGGGUUCGACCCCCGCAUCGGGCU
This 84-nucleotide transfer RNA is filed under the name Cordyceps fumosorosea ARSEF 2679. Its description in RNAcentral is "Isaria fumosorosea ARSEF 2679 tRNA". It matches the Rfam family "tRNA". Rfam says of the family: Transfer RNA (tRNA) molecules are approximately 80 nucleotides in length. Their secondary structure includes four short double-helical elements and three loops (D, anti-codon, and T loops). Lineage: Eukaryota; Fungi; Ascomycota; Sordariomycetes; Hypocreales; Cordycipitaceae. The record is from Rfam by way of RNAcentral.